CUUCGCCGACUACAUCCACACCUUUGGGAACCCCUGGACUGCUGGGGCUGGACCCCGGCAUAUGGCGCCUGAACAGGCCGAACAGGAUUCCCCUAGGUCUGCUCCGGGGAAACCUGCUAUGGCGCUUUGAGUUGCCAAGCUCCGCGCUACCCUGAGGUCGCGGUGGCCGGUCUCCCAGUUUAGCGCUCUCAGACGGCAACGCCAGCCCCUUCUCUCUCAGCCGUCACCGUCACCGAGUAUCAGACCUUGUGAAUCUGGCGCAUCAGAAAGCGCAGCGGCUCUUCCACCUGAAAAGCCCACUGAUCGGCACCUGGAGUUGCUUCGUACUUUUACUUGGGAAAGAUCCGCAGACUGUGCUGCUACCGCGCCUGUGCGUCUCCCAGGGAUUCUCCUGCGUCUCUUCAUUCGGGGCCCGAGGAGACAUCACCCCCAGGAAGGCUCGCUGAUCUGCCUCAAGUCGCGCAGCCAGUGAGUGGGGAAGCCAGCAUUUGGACCUGGCUCUAAUUAGAGCCCUUAUCCCAUCCCCUCCCCCCAACUACAUUUUGUUUUAAAAAUUGCUCUUGCUAUUCCCACCUUUAAAACCUACCUUGGUUUCUCCUAAAGUUUAGGACCUAAACCAACCGUACAGACCUCCCCACUCGGGACCCACCUGCCUGUCCAGCCUCAUCACCCCGCUCCCUACACGCCCCUCUUCUGCCCCGAAAGCCACCUCCAGUCCCUCCCUGACCCCUGACUGCUCUCCUCUCCGUUACCUCUUCUUCAAAGUCCAAAUCCU
Long non-coding RNA from Myotis brandtii (Brandt's bat), 775 nucleotides. RefSeq lists it as uncharacterized. NCBI's taxonomy places the organism in Eukaryota, Metazoa, Chordata, Mammalia, Chiroptera, Vespertilionidae. The record is from RefSeq and is a predicted model, not a curated record. The transcript has 3 exons.